AUAGCGGAGGAAAAGAAACUAACAAGGAUUCCCCUAGUAGCGGCGAGCGAAGCGGGAAGAGCUCAAAUUUAUAAUCUGGCACCUUCGGUGUCCGAGUUGUAAUCUCUAGAAAUGUUUUCCGCGUUGGACCGCACACAAGUCUGUUGGAAUACAGCGGCAUAGUGGUGAGACCCCCGUAUAUGGUGCGGACGCCCAGCGCUUUGUGAUACAUUUUCGAAGAGUCGAGUUGUUUGGGAAUGCAGCUCAAAUUGGGUGGUAAAUUCCAUCUAAAGCUAAAUAUUGGCGAGAGACCGAUAGCGAACAAGUACCGUGAGGGAAAGAUGAAAAGCACUUUGGAAAGAGAGUUAACAGUACGUGAAAUUGUUGGAAGGGAAACGCUUGAAGUCAGACUUGCUUGCCGAGCAAUCGGUUUGCAGGCCAGCAUCAGUUUUCCGGGAUGGAUAAUGGUAGAGAGAAGGUAGCAGUUUCGGCUGUGUUAUAGCUCUCUGCUGGAUACAUCUUGGGGGACUGAGGAACGCAGUGUGCCUUUGGCGGGGGUUUCGACCUCUCACACUAGGAUG
This 560-nucleotide ribosomal RNA is filed under the name Rhodotorula mucilaginosa. Its description in RNAcentral is "LSU rRNA". It matches the Rfam family "Eukaryotic large subunit ribosomal RNA", at positions 47 to 628 of the family's 3401-position model. The record is from RNAcentral. Lineage: Eukaryota; Fungi; Basidiomycota; Microbotryomycetes; Sporidiobolales; Sporidiobolaceae.